GAUGAAGAACGUAGCGAAAUGCGAUAAGUAAUGUGAAUUGCAGAAUUCAGUGAAUCAUCGAAUCUUUGAACGCACAUUGCGCCCCUUGGUAUUCCGAGGGGCAUGUCUGUUCGAGCGUCAUUAUAACCCCUCAAGCUCAGCUUGGUGUUGGGGCCUGCUGCACUGGCAGCCCUUAAAAUCAGUGGCGGCGCCAUCUGGCUCUAAGCGUAGUAAUUCUUCUCGCUAUGGAGUCCUGGUGGAUGCUUGCCAUCAACCCCCAAUUUUUCUAUGGUUGACCUCGGAUCAGGUAGGGAUACACGCUGAACUUAAGCAUAUCAAUAAGCGGAGGA
RNAcentral lists this unclassified non-coding RNA (329 nucleotides) under soil metagenome. Its description in RNAcentral is "partial contains 5.8S ribosomal RNA, internal transcribed spacer 2, and large subunit ribosomal RNA". The stretch from base 1 to 120 matches the Rfam family "5.8S ribosomal RNA", at positions 35 to 154 of the family's 154-position model. The record is from RNAcentral.